Molecule: ribosomal RNA, 447 nt
Filed under: uncultured bacterium
Lineage: Bacteria
Description: partial 16S ribosomal RNA
Rfam family: Bacterial small subunit ribosomal RNA
Source: RNAcentral
AGCGAGCGCUGGCGGCAGGCUUAACACAUGCAAGUCGAACGCCCCGCAAGGGGCGUGGCAGACGGGUUAGUAACACGUGGGAACGUACCCUUUGGUUCGGAAUAACUUGGGGAAACUCAAGCUAAUACCGUAUCAGCCCUUAUGGGGAAAGGUUUACUGCCGAAGGAUCGGCCCGCGUCUGAUUAGCUAGUUGGUGAGGUAAUGGCUCACCAAGGCGACGAUCAGUAGCUGGUCUGAGAGGAUGAUCAGCCACACUGGGACUGAGACACGGCCCAGACUCCUACGGGAGGCAGCAGUGGGGAAUAUUGGACAAUGGGGGCAACCCUGAUCCAGCCAUGCCGCGUGAGUGAUGAAGGCCUUAGGGUUGUAAAGCUCUUUUACCCGGGACGAUAAUGACUGUACCGGGAGAAUAAGCCCCGGCUAACUUCGUGCCAGCCGCCGCCGUAA